UUUCCGGUAGCGUUGUUUCAUUGGUUCUCUGAAAUGAGCACCAAAUACCAAUGAACUAAUUAAAAUGAUGAAAGUUUUUCCGGAGAGGGUGUUUCUUUGAUUCUCUGAAAUGAAUAAAAUUCACUAAUGAAUAAAACUGAAUGGUGAAAGAUUUUCCAGGGCGUUGUUUCUUUGGUUCUUUGAAAUGGGAACCAAAGACUGAUGAACCAAUUGAAUUGGUGAAGGAUUUCCAGCGACAUAUCUUUCAAGUGCCUGUUUUAUCAGUAGCGGUUCCCUCCUAUGGUAGAGUCCGCGCCUAUUAUAAUAUUAACGGGUGAAGGGGAAUCAGGGUUUGAUGUUGGAGAGGAAGCUUGAGAAACGGAUACCAGAUUCAAGAAAGGGACCAGGUGAGCAAAUUACUCCCUUCCAGAACGGGGAGGCUGUAACGAGAAAUAAUAAUGUGAUCCCGUAAUUGGAAUGAGUACUCUAAAAUCUUUGACGAGAAUCAAUUGGAAGGCAAAUCUGUUCCCAAUAGCUACCAUAAUUCCAGCUCCAGU
This 536-nucleotide non-coding RNA is filed under the name Stegodyphus mimosarum. Its description in RNAcentral is "Eukaryotic small subunit ribosomal RNA". It matches the Rfam family "Eukaryotic small subunit ribosomal RNA", at positions 100 to 595 of the family's 1831-position model. Lineage: Eukaryota; Metazoa; Arthropoda; Arachnida; Araneae; Eresidae. The record is from Rfam by way of RNAcentral.